AAGUUCCUGAAAUGUUCGACACUCCUGCGAUUUUGAACCUACAGUAGAUAAUAAGGGAUUCCUAUAUCUGCAGGCGGAUGUCAGGCCGCCAUGGUUAGCGGAAGGCAGAAACCUGCAUGCGGAUGCCCACCUAGCGAGAGGCUAGGCGUCAAAAUGCAGGAAACGGCAUUUCGGGGUUUAU
RNAcentral lists this non-coding RNA (181 nucleotides) under Herbinix hemicellulosilytica. RNAcentral's name for it is "6S / SsrS RNA". It matches the Rfam family "6S / SsrS RNA". From Rfam's summary of the family: E. coli 6S RNA was the first non coding RNA to be sequenced, but its function was unknown until recently. It consists of 184 nucleotides that fold into an extended hairpin structure with a large single-stranded internal bulge. The 6S RNA specifically associates with RNA polymerase holoenzyme containing the sigma70 specificity factor. Lineage: Bacteria; Bacillati; Bacillota; Clostridia; Lachnospirales; Lachnospiraceae. The record is from Rfam by way of RNAcentral.